AGUCGAGGGGCAGCACGGCAGCAAUGCUGGUGGCGACCGGCGCACGGGUGCGUAACGCGUAUGCAACCUACCUUAUGCAGGGGGAUAGCCCAUGGAAACGUGGAUUAAUACCCCAUAGAACAGUAGCUCCGCAUGGAUUUACUGUUAAAACUUCGGUGGCAUAAGAUGGGCAUGCGUCUGAUUAGCUUGUUGGUGGGGUAACGGCCCACCAAGGCUACGAUCAGUAGGGGUUCUGAGAGGAUUAUCCCCCACACUGGUACUGAGACACGGACCAGACUCCUACGGGAGGCAGCAGUGAGGAAUAUUGGUCAAUGGGCGCGAGCCUGAACCAGCCAUCCCGCGUGCAGGAUGACGGCCCUAUGGGUUGUAAACUGCUUUUCUACGCCAAGAAAUCUCCCGACGAGUCGGGAGUUGCCAGUAGCGUAGGAAUAAGCAUCGGCUAACUCCGUGCCAGCAGCCGCGGUAAUACGGAGGAUGCAAGCGUUAUCCGGAUUCAUUGGGUUUAAAGGGUGCGCAGGUGGGUCUGUAAGUCAGUGGUGAAAUGUUGCCGCUUAACGGUAAAAUUGCCAUUGAUACUGCAGGUCUUGAGUAUGGUUGAGGUAGGCGGAAUGUGUUGUGUAGCGGUGAAAUGCAUAGAUAUGACACAGAACUCCGAUUGCGAAGGCAGCUUACUAAGCCAUUACUGACGCUGAGGCACGAAAGCGUGGGGAGCGAACAGGAUUAGAUACCCUGGUAGUCCACGCCGUANACGAUGUUCACUCGCUGUNUGCGAUACACAGUAAGCGGCUGAGCGAAAGCAUUAAGUGAACCACCUGGGG
Molecule: ribosomal RNA, 818 nt
Filed under: uncultured bacterium
Lineage: Bacteria
Description: bacterial SSU rRNA
Rfam family: Bacterial small subunit ribosomal RNA
Source: RNAcentral